Molecule: ribosomal RNA, 253 nt
Filed under: uncultured archaeon
Lineage: Archaea
Description: partial 16S ribosomal RNA
Rfam family: Archaeal small subunit ribosomal RNA
Source: RNAcentral
AACCAGCACCUCAAGUGGUCAGGAUGAUUAUUGGGCCUAAAGCAUCCGUAGCCUGUUCUGUAAGUUUUCGGUUAAAUCCAUAAGCUCAACUUAUGGGCUGCCGAAAAUGCUGCAGAAUUAGGGAGUGGGAGAGGUAGACGGUACUCGGUAGGAAGGGGUAAAAUCCUUUGAUCUAUUGAUGACCACCUGUGGCGAAGGCGGUCUACCAGAACACGUUCGACGGUGAGGGAUGAAAGCUGGGGGAGCAAACGGG